UACGAAGGGGGCUAGCGUUGCUCGGAAUCACUGGGCGUAAAGGGUGCGUAGGCGGGUCUUUAAGUCAGGGGUGAAAUCCUGGAGCUCAACUCCAGAACGGCCUUUGAUACUGAAGAUCUUGAGUUCGGGAGAGGUGAGUGGAACUGCGAGUGUAGAGGUGAAAUUCGUAGAUAUUCGCAAGAACACCAGUGGCGAAGGCGGCUCACUGGCCCGAUACUGACGCUGAGGCACGAAAGCGUGGGGAGCAAACAGG
Molecule: ribosomal RNA, 253 nt
Filed under: uncultured bacterium
Lineage: Bacteria
Description: partial 16S ribosomal RNA
Rfam family: Bacterial small subunit ribosomal RNA
Source: RNAcentral